Molecule: non-coding RNA, 232 nt
Organism: Paramuricea clavata
Lineage: Eukaryota; Metazoa; Cnidaria; Anthozoa; Malacalcyonacea; Plexauridae
Source: the annotation of a GenBank genome assembly
CUGUGGUGUUCCAAAAGGGAGCAAUUUGGAUCCGCUAUUGUUCUUCAUAUACAUCAAUGACCUCCAGAAUUGCCUCAAUUAUGCAAUGCCGAGAAUGUUUGCAGACGAUACAAGUGUUAGCUUUGCGGCCGACUCAGUUGGAUGAGCUCCAGAAUGUCUUAAACUCUGAAUUGAAAUGCCUUCAUUAUAGCUGCCAAAAUGGGCUACUUGCAUAUAAUGUAGUGUAAACGCG